GGGGAUUUAGCUCAGUGGUAUUAGCACCUGCCUUGUAAGCAGGCAGUCGUGAGUUCGAUUCCCGGUACCA
This is a non-coding RNA of Cavia porcellus (domestic guinea pig), 70 nucleotides long. The record is from Rfam. Lineage: Eukaryota; Metazoa; Chordata; Mammalia; Rodentia; Caviidae.